This 496-nucleotide ribosomal RNA is filed under the name uncultured bacterium. RNAcentral describes it as "partial 16S ribosomal RNA". It matches the Rfam family "Bacterial small subunit ribosomal RNA", at positions 29 to 507 of the family's 1533-position model. The record is from RNAcentral.
AUGAACGCUGGCGGCGUGCCUAAUCCAUGCACGUCGAGCGAACAGAUCAGGAGCUUGCUCCUUCGACGUUAGAAGCGGACGGGUGAGUAACACGUGGGUAACCUACCUAUAAGACUGGAAUAACUCCGGGAAACCGGGGCUAAUGCCGGAUAACAUUUAGAACCGCAUGGUUCUAAAGUGAAAGAUGGUUUUACUAUCACUUAUAGAUGGACCCGCGCCGUAUUAGCUAGUUGGUAAGGUAACGGCUUACCAAGGCAACGAUACGUAGCCGACCUGAGAGGGUGAUCGGCCACACUGGAACUGAGACACGGUCCAGACUCCUACGGGAGGCAGCAGUAGGGAAUCUUCCGCAAUGGGCGAAAGCCUGACGGAGCAACGCCGCGUGAGUGAUGAAGGUCUUCGGAUCGUAAAACUCUGUUAUUAGGGAAGAACAAAUGUGUAAGUAACUGUGCACGUCUUGACGGUACCUAAUCAGAAAGCCACGGCUAACUACGUG